CUCACCCUGCCAGACGCGAAUUUAUAAAACCCUACUAUAGCACUACACUCGGCCAAAAAGUCGAGUGUAUAAAGCCCCAUUGUAGCAAAGGGGAUCGGGGGAGGAAAAGGAGCCAACGACAAUCCUAAAAAACCAGCAUUCAAAAACCCUAGAAAAAAAUCCCUAGGCAGCCAAGAAACCACAAUCGGUAGAUCAAAAAUCCUAAGCUUCCUAGCAGCCACAACAAUCCACAAAAAUCAAAGAAAUAUACCAAAAAAUGAAUACCAAAAAAUCAUAAAAUAUGCACAAUGAGAGGGGGAGAAUGGUUGGGUUUUUUGGGUGAAUUUUUGGUUGAUUUUUAGGGGGGAUAAAGCUUAGGUAUUUACCGCCGGUAAGAGUGGGUAAAGCUUGGGUUAUUUGCCGCCGAUUAGGAGGGAUAAAGCUUGGGUAUUUGCUGCCGGUUAGAGUGGGUAAAGCUUGGGUUAGUUGCCGUCGGUUAUGGGGGAUAAAGCUUGGGUAUUUGCCGCCGAUUAGAGUGGGUAAAGCUUGGGUUAGUUGCCGUUGGUUAGGAGGGAUAAAACUGGGGUAUUUACUGUCGAUUAGAGUGGGUAAAGCUUGGGUUAGCUGUCGCCGAUUGUAGAGGGAACCGGGGCUUGAGUACUAGCUAUCGACGACGUCGAGCGGCUGCAGCGAGAAUAGAUUUGGAGUUAGUGUCGGCCGGUGGUACACAUAGAGAGAGAGAAACCCGACCGGCGGCUUGGUAGAGAAGGGAGAGAGUUUGGGUUCUAGAGAGAGAAAGUGAGAAGAAAAAAGAGAGAAAAGAAAGUUUUUAUAGCUAGGGUCUGUUUGGGUUAGGAGAGGAUCAUACGACGCCGUUUCAUUCAAGGAGAACCACACCAAAACGACGUCGUUUCAAGAAAAGGGGAGCUGAGUCUUGAAUUUGGCUAGCGGGCUUUUGCUGGGCUGAUAUUCUUUGGGCUUGGUUGGGUUUAAGCUUUGGGUAAGUUUAUUUUAAAACCUUUAAACUAUUGAACAUUUGCAUUGGUUGAUUUUAUUUUUAGGAAUUUUUUAAAAAUAUAUUUUAUGUUAAUAAAAUGGUACAAAUAUGAAUUUGAGGAAUUUUAGGAAAGCAAAAUCAUAGAAACACAAAAAAUAUAUAUAUAUGAAAAUAGAUAAGGAUAAAAAUAAAUUGUGAAAAAUUAAAAUCGAAAAAUAUAAAAAAAAUGGAAAUGAAUGGAAUGGAUGAUAGGCUAAAAAAUAUUUAGAUUAAAUUAAGAAAAAAUUGGAAAUUAUUGAAAUAUUGGUGGGGUAAUCUUAGGUAAAAAUAUAUGAAAGUGCAUGUAAAAUAUGUUUAUACAUUAGAUCGGAAGAAUAUGUUUAGUGAAUGAGAAUAAACAAGGAAGAAACAUUUUAUGUUAAAUAAAAGAUAAUAAUAAGUUGAGUUAGUCAAAUAAUCAUAAUAGGAUAGGUAUUAGAAUCGACCUUAGAAAAUCGAAUUUUAAGAUGCCACGAUAUUAAUUAUAGGAGUAAUAUAUAAAUACCGAUGAUGGGAUGAUUGGUCGGGACGGGAGGAGUCGUAAUCCCGAGUUAAUUUUUCCUAGGUUCGGAAUUCGAAUCAAGGCCCCACCAAUAUGAUGGGAGGGUCUCGAUUUUGAUAUUCUGAGAUUUUUAUUUUAAAUAAAUAAAAAUUUUACUACAUAAAAAUUAGUUAAAAAUAAUAAAUAAAAAAAAUAAAAAAAUAAAAAUAAAUGCUAUAUUUAAUUUGUUCAAGAAAAUAUAAUAAUAAUAAAAUAAGAAUAAAUUUCAAAAAGCAUAGCAUAUAUAUAUAUAUAUAUAUAUUGCAUCAUGCAUAUCAUUGCAUAUAAAUAUUUUUGUUUUCGAGUUUAAGCCCCGAUGAUGGGAUCUCCCGGAGAUCUUGCGAAGACGGGUAUUCCUCGAAAAGUUCUCUAGAUGAAAAGGUAUCCUCGGGUCCCACCAAUAUGAUGGGAGGGCUCGAGAAACAUAUUUAAUAACAAGCUUUUGCUCGUAUUAGGUUCAUUAUUCAUGAAAAUAUUAUUUUUUAACGAAAAAUGUAUGAUAACCCCGAUGGUAGGAUUUAUUCGUUGAAUUUGUGAAGGUGAAUUUCUUGGAUAAUUUUUUAGGUGAGAGAACACCCCGGAUCCCACCAGUAUGAUGGGCGGAUUCGAGAGAACGUCCUCAAUAAAAGGUUAUUCGUCCAACAUAUUUUUAUCUCACACCAUGCAUUUCAUCUUGCCUCACACUUGCAUUUCAUUUUAGAAUCAAAUAAAAUAAUUUAAUAAAAUUGGAGAUAAAAUAAGUAAAUAAUAGUUAAGGAAAUAAAAUGAACUUAAAAAAAUAAGACCUAAUAGGAUAAUCUAAAAAUGGUACCGUUCAUGGAACAGGAGUUUCGAGGGUGCUAAUCCUUCUCCGGGCGUAACCGUACUCCCGAACUUAGAUAUAAAAAAAAUGUAGACUAGUUUAAGAUUCUUUCGACGGGCUUAAAUCUAAUUAAGAUUCUGUCGAUUAGAAUCGAGUCAAUAGGUGGUCAAUCACACAUAGUAAAAAAGAUUGAUGAUGACUUUUAAUUUUUUAAAGUUUUCACUCACGUCUGAUGAUCGGGUCCUCGGAUCCACAUAUUACGAUAGACUGUAUCUGCCAGAAAAUAUUGUCUACCUGUUUUGUUCCCGUCGUAGCACAAAUCUCAAUUCGGAAAACAAUAUGUAAAAUGUUUUUAGGACCCCCCACCCACCCACUUUGUUGGACUCAAAAGAGGUUAUCUUGGCUCUCUGCUCUCUAGUGGUGGCCAAAGCCCAUCCACAUAGAUUUUGCUUUAUUUUAGCAGGGGGUCCAGGGUACUUUGGAGGGCCCGUUGGAUUAGUUUCGUGGAUGAGAAUGCCCGGUCUCUCCCUCUCAUUAAUCAUGAUGGUAGAAAAAAAAAAACAAAAAUUUCCAACUUUUUCCUGCACUUUUUGGGGCUCUUGGUGAAUGAUAUUUCUAUAUUUUGGCAUUUCAUUGUUGUUAGGCUUCUCAACUCGAUUUCAACUGGCCUUUGGUGGGCCAAAGCUGACUUGAGCUGAGACUGACUGUUAAUGCUUGGAGGGUGAUAAUGAGGUCCACUUGAGAUCAGAUCUGAAAAGGCCAAUGGUCCAGUUAAGAUUGGGCCGACUUAGAGCGAAGAAUCCAAAGACUUAGGGACAUUUUCUAAUGCUCUAGCCUCCAGGAGUGCUUGCAGGACCCGAAAUUGAAAUCAAGUAAAACUUGUUGUUAUUGCAGAUGAAUCAGGAUUAUUCCAAGUCAUACAAACAUUUUCUACACAUGACAAUGAAAUUUCCAAACUAAGUAGAAUUCAAUGGCUCUGGUUUCCAGAAAUGAAAAAGAAAAGACCAAUUAACUACAAUCACAAGUUUUGGAAAUAGAAUUUUGUGCAUGUUUUGAAGCCUCUUCUAACUUGCUUGUUUUGACAUCCUUUAGAACAUUUCUAGCCCACUCUGCAAAAUGGGUCUCAUUGUAUCCAAUCCUGCCACUUUUGUAGAGUGACAUACAGCGACGAUCAUCGUCUGAGUAGGGGCAGUUUUCCCCGUCGGGGUCUCUCCAAUCGCCUCGGUGCCUCAUUCCAGACCAGCUAGCCAUCCAAUGAUACACGUACUGGCCUACGCCAGCAAGUUUUAGCCAUCCU
This 3655-nucleotide long non-coding RNA is filed under the name Theobroma cacao (cacao). Its description in RNAcentral is "long non-coding RNA (TCAC_LNC000778)". Lineage: Eukaryota; Viridiplantae; Streptophyta; Magnoliopsida; Malvales; Malvaceae. The record is from RNAcentral.